GAUUAUGGCUCAGAUUGAACGCUGGCGGCAGGCCUAACACAUGCAAGUCGAACGGUAACAGGAAGAAGCUUGCUCUUUGCUGACGAGUGGCGGACGGGUGAGUAAUGUCUGGGAAACUGCCUGAUGGAGGGGGAUAACUACUGGAAACGGUAGCUAAUACCGCAUAACGUCGCAAGACCAAAGAGGGGGACCUUCGGGCCUCUUGCCAUCGGAUGUGCCCAGAUGGGAUUAGCUUGUUGGUGGGGUAACGGCUCACCAAGGCGACGAUCCCUAGCUGGUCUGAGAGGAUGACCAGCCACACUGGAACUGAGACACGGUCCAGACUCCUACGGGAGGCAGCAGUGGGGAAUAUUGCACAAUGGGCGCAAGCCUGAUGCAGCCAUGCCCGCGUGUAUGAAGAAGGCCUUCGGGUUGUAAAGUACUUUCAGCGGGGAGGAAGGGAGUAAAGUUAAUACCUUUGCUCAUUGACGUUACCCGCAGAAGAAGCACCGGCUAACUCCGUGCCAGCCGCGGC
Molecule: ribosomal RNA, 514 nt
Filed under: uncultured bacterium
Lineage: Bacteria
Description: bacterial SSU rRNA
Rfam family: Bacterial small subunit ribosomal RNA
Source: RNAcentral